Molecule: ribosomal RNA, 321 nt
Filed under: Triticum aestivum (bread wheat)
Lineage: Eukaryota; Viridiplantae; Streptophyta; Magnoliopsida; Poales; Poaceae
Description: partial small subunit ribosomal RNA
Source: RNAcentral
AUGAUUCUACUUUCUGUAUGGAGCUGGGAGCGUCUGCCUGUUGGACGCCCGAAGAGCGUCAGGUUUAAUCCUUGGUAUGAAGAUGAACAUGACGAAUUACGGCGCCCCACUUGGGCUUACAAGUGGGAUGUGGUUUCCGAGAUGACGAACGAUGUCAAUCUCAUGUACCAGAAGUACGUUGCCGAGUUGGACAUGAUUACGCCUGAGCAGGUAACGAGGUCAUUACUUCAGUCAUUUCUCAUGUUUGCCAGAAAAAAAGUCACCAAUUUUGCAUUGUUGCCCUAUUUCAUAGGUGGAAUGGCAGCCAUAUGGCGCCGAUGA